GCUAAACGCGAAGAACCUUACCUGGUCUUGACAUCCUAGGAAUCCCGAAGAGAUUUGGGAGUGCUCGCAAGAGAGCCAUAACACAGGUGCUGCAUGGCUGUCGUCAGCUCGUGUCGUGAGAUGUUGGGUUAAGUCCCGCAACGAGCGCAACCCUUGCCAUCAGUUGCUACGAAAGGGCACUCUGAUGGGACUGCCGGUGACAAACCGGAGGAAGGUGGGGAUGACGUCAAGUCCUCAUGGCCCUUAUAGGUGGGGCUACACACGUCAUACAAUGGCUGGUACAAAGGGUUGCCAACCCGCGAGGGGGAGCCAAUCCCACAAAGCCAGUCGUAGUCCGGAUUGCAGGCUGCAACUCGCCUGCAUGAAGUCGGAAUCGCUAGUAAUCGUGGAUCAGCAUGUCACGGUGAAUACGUUCCCGGGUCUUGUACACACCG
RNAcentral lists this ribosomal RNA (434 nucleotides) under uncultured bacterium. RNAcentral's name for it is "bacterial SSU rRNA". It matches the Rfam family "Bacterial small subunit ribosomal RNA", at positions 954 to 1392 of the family's 1533-position model. The record is from RNAcentral.